This 329-nucleotide ribosomal RNA is filed under the name uncultured eukaryote. RNAcentral describes it as "partial 18S ribosomal RNA". It matches the Rfam family "Eukaryotic small subunit ribosomal RNA", at positions 1470 to 1796 of the family's 1831-position model. The record is from RNAcentral.
CCCUUAGAUGUUCUGGGCCGCACGCGCGCUACACUGACGAUGGCAACGAGUUUUUCCUUCGCCGAAAGGUGUGGGUAAUCUUUUGAAACAUCGUCGUGCUGGGGAUAGAUCAUUGCAAUUUUUGAUCUUGAACGAGGAAUUCCUAGUAAGCGCGAGUCAUCAGCUCGCGUUGAUUACGUCCCUGCCCUUUGUACACACCGCCCGUCGCUACUACCGAUUGAAUGGUUUAGUGAGGAUUCCUGAUUGGCGCCGCCGCCCCGGCAACGGAGCAGCGGACUGCCGAAAAGUUGUUCAAACUUGAUCAUUGAGAGGAAGUAAAAGUCGUAACA